This 463-nucleotide ribosomal RNA is filed under the name uncultured Methanomicrobiales archaeon. RNAcentral describes it as "bacterial SSU rRNA". It matches the Rfam family "Archaeal small subunit ribosomal RNA", at positions 872 to 1338 of the family's 1478-position model. The record is from RNAcentral. Lineage: Archaea; Methanobacteriati; Methanobacteriota; Methanomicrobia; Methanomicrobiales.
GGGAGCACACACAGUGGAGCCUGCGGUUUAAUCGGACUCAACGCCGGGAAACUCACCAGAUAAGACAGCUGAAUGAUAGUCGGGCUGAAGACUCUACUUGACUAGCUGAGAGGAGGUGCAUGGCCGUCGUCAGUUCGUACUGUGAAGCAUCCUGUUAAGUCAGGCAACGAGCGAGACCCACGCCAACAGUUGCCAGCUCGUCCUCCGGGAUGGUGGGGACACUGUUGGGACCGCUCUGCUAAAGAGGAGGAAGGAAUGGGCAACGGUAGGUCAGCAUGCCCCGAAUUAUCUGGGCUACACGCGGGCUACAAUGGGUGGGACAAUGGGUAUCGACACCGAAAGGUGAAGGCAAUCUCCUAAACCCAUCCGUAGUUCGGAUUGUGGGCUGCAACUCGCCCACAUGAAGCUGGAAUCUGUAGUAAUCGUGUCUCAAAAUGGCACGGUGAAUAUGUCCCUGCUCCUU